This 623-nucleotide ribosomal RNA is filed under the name uncultured soil bacterium. RNAcentral describes it as "bacterial SSU rRNA". It matches the Rfam family "Bacterial small subunit ribosomal RNA", at positions 170 to 771 of the family's 1533-position model. The record is from RNAcentral.
CGCAUAAUGCAGCGGCUCGACAUCGAGACAGUUGUUAAAGCGGGGGAUUCGCAAGAACCUCGCGCCUAAAGAGGAGCCUGCGGCGGAUUAGCUAGUUGGUGAGGUAAUGGCUCACCAAGGCGACGAUCUGUAACCGGCCUGAGAGGGCGGUCGGUCACACUGACACUGACAUACGGGUCAGACUCCUACGGGAGGCAGCAGUCGGGAAUUUUGGGCAAUGGGCGAAAGCCUGACCCAGCAACGCCGCGUGAAGGAUGAAAUCCCUCGGGAUGUAAACUUCGCAAGAAUGGGAAGAAUAAGAGAGGGUUAAUACCCCUUUUGAUGACGGUACCAUUUGUAAGCUCCGGCUAACUCCGUGCCAGCAGCCGCGGUAAUACGGGGGGAGCAAGCGUUGUUCGGAUUUACUGGGCGUAAAGGGCGCGUAGGCGGUCCUGACAAGUCACUUGUGAAAUCUCCGGGCUUAACUCGGAAAGGUCAAGUGAUACUGUCGGACUAGAGUGCAGAAGGGGCAACUGGAAUUCUCGGUGUAGCGGUGAAAUGCGUAGAUAUCGAGAGGAACACCUGCGGCGAAGGCGGGUUGCUGGGCUGACACUGACGCUGAGGCGCGAAAGCUAGGGGAGCGA